This 257-nucleotide ribosomal RNA is filed under the name uncultured bacterium. RNAcentral describes it as "partial 16S ribosomal RNA". It matches the Rfam family "Bacterial small subunit ribosomal RNA", at positions 793 to 1055 of the family's 1533-position model. The record is from RNAcentral.
GUCCACGCCGUAAACGAUGCUAACUCGUUUUUGGAUUUUCGGAUUCAGAGACCAAGCGAAAGUGAUAAGUUAGCCACCUGGGGAGUACGUCCGCAAGGAUGAAACUCAAAGGAAUUGACGGGGGCCCGCACAAGCGGUGGAUUAUGUGGUUUAAUUCGAUGAUACGCGAGGAACCUUACCAAGACUUAAAUGGGAAAUGACAGGUUUAGAAAUAGACCCUUCUUCGGACAUUUUUCAUGGUGCUGCAUGGUUGUCGU